GAUGAACGCUGGCGGCGUGCCUAAUACAUGCAAGUCGAGCGAACGGGCGAGGAGCUUGCUGUGUGGAUGUUAGCGGCGGACGUGUGUGUAACACGUGGAUAACCUACCUAUAUGACUGGUAUAUCCUCGGGAAACCGGCUCUAAUACCGGAUAAUAUUUUGAACCGCAUGGUUCAAAAGUGAAAGACGGUCUUGCGGUCUCGUCUAGAUGGAUACCCGCUGCAUUAGCUAGUUGGUAAGGUCAUGGCUUACCAAGGCAAGGAUGCGUAGCCGACCUGAGAGGGUGAUCGGCGACACUGGAGCGGAGACGGGGACAAGAGGCCUAAGGGAGGCACCAGUCGGGAAUCUUCGGCAGUGGGCGAAAGCCUGACGGAGCAACGGCGAGUGAGAGAUGAAGGUCUUCGGAGCGUAAAAAUCGCUUAUUAGGUAAGAACAGAUGUGUAAGGUGCUGAACAGAGCUUGACGGUAAUGAAUCAGAAAGCAACGGCUAACUACGUG
This 497-nucleotide ribosomal RNA is filed under the name uncultured bacterium. RNAcentral describes it as "partial 16S ribosomal RNA". It matches the Rfam family "Bacterial small subunit ribosomal RNA", at positions 28 to 507 of the family's 1533-position model. The record is from RNAcentral.